AGUAAUACAUCGGAACGUGUCUUCUAGUGGGGGAUAACUGCCCGAAAGGGCAGCUAAUACCGCAUGAGACCUGAGGGUGAAAGCGGGGGAUCGCAAGACCUCGCGCUGGAAGAGCGGCCGAUGUCCGAUUAGCUAGUUGGUGAGGUAAUGGCUCACCAAGGCGACGAUCGGUAGCUGGUCUGAGAGGACGACCAGCCACACUGGGACUGAGACACGGCCCAG
This 222-nucleotide ribosomal RNA is filed under the name uncultured bacterium. Its description in RNAcentral is "partial 16S ribosomal RNA". It matches the Rfam family "Bacterial small subunit ribosomal RNA", at positions 109 to 334 of the family's 1533-position model. The record is from RNAcentral.